AUUGAACGCUGGCGGCAGGCCUAACACAUGCAAGUCGAACGCGUGGCGGACGGGUGUGUAAUGUCUGGGAAAGUGCGUGAUGGAGGGGGAUCACUAGUGGACACGGUCGCAAAUACCGCAUACAAUAAGAUGUGCCCAUAUGGGAUUAGCUUGUUGGUGGGGUAACGGCUCACAAAGGCGACGAUCCCUAGCUGGUCUGAGAGGAUGACCAGCCACACUGGGACCGAGACACGGGCCAGACUCCUACGGGAGGCAGCAGUGGGGAAUAUUGCACAAUGGGCGCAAGCCUGAUGCAGCCAUGCCGCGUGUAUGAAGAAGGCCUUCGGGUUGUAAAGUACUUUCAGCGGGGAGGCGUUACCCGCAGAAGAAGCACCGGCUAACUCCGUGCCAGCAGCCGCGGUAAUUC
RNAcentral lists this ribosomal RNA (406 nucleotides) under uncultured bacterium. Its description in RNAcentral is "partial 16S ribosomal RNA". It matches the Rfam family "Bacterial small subunit ribosomal RNA", at positions 30 to 526 of the family's 1533-position model. The record is from RNAcentral.